GUCCACGCCGUAAACGAUGAAUGCCAGACGUCAGCAAGCAUGCUUGUUGGUGUCACACCAAACGGAUUAAGCAUUCCGCCUGGGGAGUACGGUCGCAAGAUUAAAACUCAAAGGAAUUGACGGGGCCGCACAAGCGGUGGAGCAUGUGGUUUAAUUCGAAGCAACGCGCAGAACCUUACCAACCCUUGACAUACCUGUCGUAGUUACCAGAGAUGGUUUCGUCAGUUCGGCUGGACAGGAUACAGGUGCUGCAUGGCUGUCGU
Molecule: ribosomal RNA, 263 nt
Filed under: uncultured bacterium
Lineage: Bacteria
Description: partial 16S ribosomal RNA
Rfam family: Bacterial small subunit ribosomal RNA
Source: RNAcentral